UUUUCUUUCUUUCGUUGAUUUGUAUGCCACGCACUCGCUCUCAAGGCGAACCGCUCUAUUUACGAAUCAACGAUAUCGAACUAUAUCUCCGAGUCUUACGACGAAUUCGGGAAUAUCGUGCUGAAAACAAUCUCCCUCCUAUAAACCUUCCAGAUUUCAAAAACAUUUUUCCUUCUUUAACCGAGAUGGCAGAACCAGCUCGUGCUCUUAGAGAUUACGCCGCUCCAUCGCAAGAUGAACCGCAUUCAAGUAUUG
This 255-nucleotide long non-coding RNA is filed under the name Lathyrus oleraceus (garden pea). RNAcentral describes it as "Pisum sativum (pea) long non-coding RNA (PSAT_LNC005005)". Lineage: Eukaryota; Viridiplantae; Streptophyta; Magnoliopsida; Fabales; Fabaceae. The record is from RNAcentral.